Molecule: ribosomal RNA, 300 nt
Filed under: uncultured Micromonospora sp.
Lineage: Bacteria; Bacillati; Actinomycetota; Actinomycetes; Micromonosporales; Micromonosporaceae
Description: bacterial SSU rRNA
Rfam family: Bacterial small subunit ribosomal RNA
Source: RNAcentral
CCAACUACGUGCCAGCAGCCGCGGUAAGACGUAGGGGGCGAGCGUUGUCCGGAAUUAUUGGGCGUAAAGGGCUCCUAGGCGGUUCAGUAAGUCGACUGUGAAAAUCCAAGGCUCAACCUUGGGGCGCCAGUCGAUACUGCUGUGACUCGAGUUCGGUAGAGGAGUGUGGAAUUCCUGGUGUAGCGGUGAAAUGCGCAGAUAUCAGGAGGAACACCAACGGCGAAGGCAGCACUCUGGGCCGAUACUGACGCUGAAGAGCGAAAGCGUGGGGAGCAAACAGGAUUAGAUACCCUUGUAGUC